UAAGCCCACCAAGCCCCGGGGCUGGGGCAACCCAGGGCCGGGGGGCAACCAAACCUAAGAUAGGGGGAGGAGUCGAAGAAGGGGAGGUCGUUGUGGAGGGGAGGUCUGAUCUCUUGAAACCAAACCGAACCCCAAAAACUCCUGAAUCGGUGGGGAUGACUUGAGGUGUGAAGUGCUGAUUGAGGAGUUCAACGACGAUAUGUUGAGAUCCGCCCACCUCGAAUCCGAUCUCAGAACCAGCUGCACGAAUCUUGAGGCGUCUCUCUCGGAUCUCGGCCGCCGGCUGUCCGAUUCCGUUGCCUUACUCCGCCCACUCGGAUCAGGUCUCUUCCGCUCUCGGAGGGGUGAAAUCAGGACUGCAAGAUCUUAGAUUGACGGUUUCGACUUUCGAAGCACAGUUCAGAUGGAUUUGAGAGAAGCGAGCAGAUAUUGGGGGAUGAGCUGCCGGCGCUUGCGAAGGAGGUGACCAGGGUUGAGACAGUGAGAGCUUAUGCUGGCUGCGUACGUCUCUCAGGUACACUUUUGUCGGAUUUCUCUGAGGCCCCAGCAUUAUUGCACGGACGCAUC
Asparagus officinalis (garden asparagus) is the source of this 567-nucleotide long non-coding RNA. RefSeq lists it as uncharacterized. The record is from RefSeq and is a predicted model, not a curated record. The transcript is spliced from 4 exons. NCBI's taxonomy places the organism in Eukaryota, Viridiplantae, Streptophyta, Magnoliopsida, Asparagales, Asparagaceae.